Lonchura striata (white-rumped munia) is the source of this 711-nucleotide long non-coding RNA. RefSeq lists it as uncharacterized. The record is from RefSeq and is a predicted model, not a curated record. NCBI's taxonomy places the organism in Eukaryota, Metazoa, Chordata, Aves, Passeriformes, Estrildidae.
CCCGGAGCACGGCGGCACCAGCGCCGAGGGGAGCGCGUCCCGACCCCCAGACUGGGGACAAAGUGCAGCCGUGUGCUGCAGCCAGGGGGGUGCCGUCCUGGUUUGUGCGAGUUUUGGAGAUGCUGGAGGAGUCCUUGGGCUCGUUCCAGCUCCUCCCUCGCCGGGAGUUAUUUUUACCCUCUCUCAGGGGUCACCAGGACUCUGCCAGGACGCGGAGGACGCUGCCGAGGUGUCGCUAAUUCCCGCGCAUCCGGGAUUAUUCCUGCGGACCCUUAUCCCGACGCCUCCCCGUGUUUCCUGCCGCUCACGAAUCACCCGCAAGCAGGUUGCGAUUUUUUCCGACAUCCUUCACAAUCGCUCAGACAGUUCAUGCAGGCAGAUUUGAGCCGGCGGUUUUAUUGGACGGGGGAAAAGCCCACGGUGUUCCGGUCUGGUUUCCUUGCUGUGCUCGCUCGCUCCGGCUCCGCACGUAUCACGCUUUUCAAAUCUAAUCUGAUCCAAGCAGAGUAGUCACACAGCCCUGGCAUGUGGUGGCUCUGGAAGGGUCUCCCUGUCCCUGCUGGGAGAGCAGGGGUUUAAAAUCCCUGAUAAAUCACAGAGUGGGUGGGAACACCCUGCCCCAGCUCUGUCCUUGGGCUGAGAGCCUGGAGGAAAACACGCCAAACACUCCACACAGAAAAACCCUCCAAAAAUAAAUAAUUGGUUAUAAUA